GAAAGUUGGAUGCCAAGGUAGAAGGCAUCAUCAUUUCUCAAGCAGAACCAAUACCCACCACACAGAACGCCCAUCAGUACUCCUCCAGCAGCAAGGACUCUACCUUUGGUAUCAGGACAGCAGACAGCCACUUGCCUUCAGAAACACAAGCACCACCUGCAGCAUCACUCCCAGCACGAAAGCAGAUCCACUCACCAUGACGGUGCAGUCCUCAGAACCGCUGGCGAUGACCUGGUCGUUGUGGGGACACCAGUCUAUGUCCAGCACGGGUCCCGUGUGCCCGCACACCGUUGGGUAGGACUUGUCAAUUCGACCCGUCUUGUGCAAAGGCAGCACCAGGAAGGCCCCGCCGCCGCUCGCAUCCACGAUGAUUGCAACGAACCUGGGGUUCACAGCACAGAAGGAGCUGUCCCAGGUGACGCGGGAGACGCGGAUGUCGUCGUAGCACUGGUCGUUCUUCACUGCCUGGCCGAACACAUGCCGGAAUUUGCUCUGUCGUACCACUCGCCUCAUUGUGUCGCGAUCCUUCAGCCGCCUCCCCGC
Molecule: long non-coding RNA, 543 nt
Filed under: Gallus gallus (chicken)
Lineage: Eukaryota; Metazoa; Chordata; Aves; Galliformes; Phasianidae
Source: RNAcentral